GACGAACGCUGGCGGCGUGCCUAACACAUGCAAGUCGAGCGAAUGAAGUUCCUUCGGGAACGGAUUUAGCGGCGGACGGGUGAGUAACACGUGGGCAACCUGCCUCAUAGAGGGGAAUAGCCUUCCGAAAGGGAGAUUAAUACUGUAUAAGAUUGUAGUACCGCAUGGUACAGCAAUUAAAGGAGCAAUCCGCUAUGAGAUGGGCCCGCGGCGCAUUAGCUAGUUGGUGAGGUAACGGCUCACCAAGGCGACGAUGCGUAGCCGACCUGAGAGGGUGAUCGGCGACAUUGGAACUGAGACACGGCCCAGACUCCUACGGGAGGAAGCAGUGGGGAAUCUUCCACAAUGGGCGCAAGCCUGAUGGAGCAAUACCGCGUGCAGGACGACGCUUUUCGGAGUGUAAACUGCUUUUGUCGUCGAAGAUUAUGACUGUAGACGAAGAAUAAGGACCGGCUAACUACGUGCCAGCCGCCGCCGUAA
This 480-nucleotide ribosomal RNA is filed under the name uncultured bacterium. RNAcentral's name for it is "partial 16S ribosomal RNA". It matches the Rfam family "Bacterial small subunit ribosomal RNA", at positions 28 to 523 of the family's 1533-position model. The record is from RNAcentral.